This 617-nucleotide ribosomal RNA is filed under the name uncultured bacterium. RNAcentral's name for it is "bacterial SSU rRNA". The stretch from base 1 to 518 matches the Rfam family "Bacterial small subunit ribosomal RNA", at positions 338 to 873 of the family's 1533-position model. The record is from RNAcentral.
CCUACGGGAGGCAGCAGUGGGGAAUCUUGCGCAAUGGGCGAAAGCCUGACGCAGCCAUGCCGCGUGAAUGAUGAAGGUCUUAGGAUUGUAAAAUUCUUUCACCGGGGACGAUAAUGACGGUACCCGGAGAAGAAGCCCCGGCUAACUUCGUGCCAGCAGCCGCGGUAAUACGAAGGGGGCUAGCGUUGCUCGGAAUUACUGGGCGUAAAGGGAGCGUAGGCGGAUAGUUUAGUCAGAGGUGAAAGCCCAGGGCUCAACCUUGGAAUUGCCUUUGAUACUGGCUAUCUUGAGUUUGGGAGAGGUGAGUGGAACUCCGAGUGUAGAGGUGAAAUUCGUAGAUAUUCGGAAGAACACCAGUGGCGAAGGCGACUCACUGGCCCAAUACUGACGCUGAGGCUCGAAAGCGUGGGGAGCAAACAGGAUUAGAUACCCUGGUAGUCCACGCCGUAAACGAUGAGUGCUAGUUGUCGGCAUGCAUGCAUGUCGGUGACGCAGCUAACGACAUUAAGUACACCUCCGCCGUCGGGGAGGUACGGUCGGCGAAGAAGUUAAAACUAACUAAAGUUAAGUUAGUAGUUACGUUGUAGAGNGCGACGACGACGACGACGGAGGAGGAG